Molecule: ribosomal RNA, 2583 nt
Filed under: Triticum aestivum (bread wheat)
Lineage: Eukaryota; Viridiplantae; Streptophyta; Magnoliopsida; Poales; Poaceae
Description: partial small subunit ribosomal RNA
Source: RNAcentral
AUGCUUGAGAAGGUAGAUUUAUUUGAGGAUGCAACUCGGCUUCUCCUCCUCCACAUCAUUGCAAAUUCCUUCUGGUCUUUAAAUAACAAAGGGUGGCCUCCCAAAAGAAAUCCAGAGAAGGAACAGUUGCUUGCAGAAGCCAAAGAGAUGGCGAAGAAGGUCUCUGAUUGCUUCUACUCCUUUGUUUGCCUGGAAGCUGAUGCACUAUCGGAUGUGAUUAAAUCUCUUCCCGAUUUAACUUGCACUUUGCUUGAGGGCAAAAAAUGUGGAAAUUUGUUUGUUGAAUAUAUCGCUUCCCGUUCGAUCAUUGAUGUUCAUCUUCAGUCUCGAACCUCUGGCUACAAUUUACACAUAGGGCCAGGAUCUGAAGAUGAAAAUGGUUGUAAUGAUCUGCUGGCUUCUAACCAGAUGUCACCCCAGACUCUGUUUUAUGUCUGGAAUCACUGGAAGUCAAUCAUACUCAAAGUACUAUCUCAUUUUCGCCACACUGAUGGUCCAGAAUUAAAUGAUUGCACAGUUAUGUAUGAAGAUCUUUUCACCAAGUACUUUGGAUUGAGAAAAGAUGACGAAGGUGACAGAUAUGUGGUGCUUAACAUGAAUGCAAGUUGGCUUUCUAAUGCUGGCAGAAGUUCUUUGCAGCAAGAUGGCAACAGAAGUUUACUGGAUGCCCCUCAGUGUCAUUCGUGUGCUCAGUAUUUCUGGAUGAAUGAGCUGUCUUCUGUUGGUUUCAGUGUACUUAAGAAGUUGGAGUCAUUUGUUCAAAUUACUCCAAAGCCAGAAUCUUUGUAUACCCUGGUGAGAACUAAAGUUAUUAUAAAUGAGAUAGCAAAGUUUUUGAAAGAACCACAGUUCAGUGUGCCAAAAAUGAAGUUAAGAAGCUUCUUUAUUCUCUGCCAGCAUCGCUUCUUUGAGCUAUUUUUUCUUGCGUGGAGAGAUGGGACAACAAGUAGCCUCUUGCAUAUACUUGACUCACCAGCUGCAUAUGGAUUGAUUGCUGAUUCUCUUAGUGCACAUCUUCGGCGAACAGAUAAAAAUCUGACUCAUGGGCAUCUUGGGAGAACGACCAUGCUUCUGCUUCAUGCAGCGCGACUGGAUGACGCGCUACUUUCAAGACUACUACAUUACCUGGACAAUAAUUCUGAGUGGGCAGAUUUUUAUCGAUGUUUGAAGGGAUUUCUUGAUGCUGAUAUUUCAAGACCUCCCUUGAUAUUGAACUUUAAGCGUGCUCUUGAUUUUACCUUCAGUGGUGUGAUGCAGAGGGAUGAACUGGACAAUAUAUCCCCAAUAUGCUAUGUGGGUCUGAUGGAGUGCCUUGGUUUCAUGGCUUCAUCAUACUUUCUACAGAAAGGUUGUAUAUACUGCACGAAGUCUCUGUUGGUCAAUAUGCUAGAGUGCCGUACUAGCAAGGUUUACCUUGAUACCUGCCUGACACCUAAUCCGAGCCCAGAUUACCAUCUUGAUUGUUUGGCACGCUCAUCAGGGCGUUUCAUAUUUGAGACAAUUAUGACUAUGUUGACAGACAAGGAUAUGCUCUUGCAGUGGGUACAGAAGACAUCAACUCCUAGUUCAUACUCUGAAGUCCUCCUGAGACUAGUGGUCACACUUUAUCCACUGAUCCUAACUCAGCGGAAUUGUUAUGAAGUCACAAAUACUCUUGUGCGGUGCGGAGUCUUUGAGGAUUUACCUUUGGAGUUCUCUCAGAAGAUGGUCCGUGUUUUGCAAGUAAAUUAUCGCACGCCGAACAACUUCACAAGAGUGCUUGCUGAUGCACUGGACGCAGUUGGAGAUCCUAUGGUAGUUAUGGUGGGCUCACCCAAAGUCCCAGCAAUCUGUCAAAACAUAAAGGCUUAUAUGAUUAUUAAGGAGGAUUUGCAUGAUGUUCCGAAGAUAAUGGCUCUUCUUCGUUCUGAAGAGCCAAGUUGUGUAAAUCAGGCUGCACUGCCAAAAAAAUCUGCUGGCAUCGAAAACAUUCCUAAGGCUGUAAAAGAUACUAAUAAGGUGAAGAGUACAAGUGAAAUAGAUUCAAGUGACGAGAAUGCUCCCUUCUGGGAUGAGUUUGAGACGUUUCAGGUCAACAAGCAAGGCCAGAAAGAUGCAAGGGUUACUAUUCAGUUCCUUAGAAGUUCCGUUCGAUGGCUGGAGCAAACAGGCUUUGAAGAAAAGAUUGAUGCACAAUUGUUGGAAGAGGUCAGGCACAUCUGCAGUCAGUUCGGAGAACGUUCCGCCAGGACGGAGAAGACAUCUUGUCUGACUGUGGAGGAUCUAUACUCAAUGCGGCAAGAUGGUGAGAAGAAACUGCAGACGAUCAUCAGCUUCCUGCGUUCCGAAAGGCCGGCCACGAAGGAAGAUUAUGGGAGGAACGAAGUCCAGUGGCAGGCUGAUGAGGCAGACGAAUGGACUGAAUGCUCAGACAGCGAGACCGAUGUCCAGUCGCAGACGGACGAACCAGAGGAAUGGACUGGGUGCUCAGGCAAUGAGGCGGAAUGGGUGAAGGAGGAGGAAGCGGCGGCACAAAAGGCGGCUCGGAGGACGAAGAGCAACAAGAAACCCAAAGAACCGCACAAAGGCCGUUUCAAGAAGUGA